Long non-coding RNA from Girardinichthys multiradiatus, 524 nucleotides. RefSeq lists it as uncharacterized. The record is from RefSeq and is a predicted model, not a curated record. The transcript has 4 exons. NCBI's taxonomy places the organism in Eukaryota, Metazoa, Chordata, Actinopteri, Cyprinodontiformes, Goodeidae.
GUCUGAUUGAGUGCUUAUCACCAUGACAUCAAGACACUCCAGUAAACAAGGCUGCUGUCAAGCUGAUUCUGUCCAAGAUGACAUUGUGUGGAGCUGCUGAGGGCUGCGUCUCUGGGUGCGACAGCUGUUCCUCAUUUUGAUGAUCAUCUGGAGGAGUAUAUAGGGGACAGAUCGCCAGCACUUCUUUGCCUGAGUGUUUUGCCUACAGCGGUUCCAUAUUCUGUCUUUUGACUCAGUCUGAUGGUUUAUCACACCCUGCUUCAGAAGAACCCGGAUCAAGUCCCAGCUGGCUGUCCGUUCUCCGGUACUCUUUCCUCGCCUGCAUGCACCCAGUCCACCCUCCAACGAUCCGCUUACUUGGACCCCGGGAGUUCCUGGUGGAUUCCCAGAAAAGGCCCCCCUGGAUCUCCAGACUCAUUUGCCAUCUCCCUGGCGGAUCUAGUCCUCCAUGCACACCUCCUCCGGUUCCUGUCUGCGUGGCUAGCCCUGAUCAUUAUCUGUUCCAGAAUUCUGGCAAUAAACUG